CAGCCGCCACGGUAACACGAAGGGGGCUAGCGUCGCUCGGAAUCACUGGGCGUAAAGGGUGCGCAGGCGGGUCUUUAAGUCAGGGGUGAAAUCCUGGAGCUCAACUCCAGAACUGUCUUUGAUACUGAAGAUCUUGAGUUCGGGAGAGGUGAGUGGAACUGCGAGUGUAGGGGUGAAAUUCGUAGAUAUUCGCAAGAACACCAGUGGUGAAGGCGGCUCACUGGCCCGAUACUGACGCUGAGGCACGAAAGCGUGGGGAGCAAACAGGAUUAGAUACCCCCGUAGUCCCUGUCUCUUAUAC
RNAcentral lists this ribosomal RNA (301 nucleotides) under uncultured bacterium. Its description in RNAcentral is "partial 16S ribosomal RNA". It matches the Rfam family "Bacterial small subunit ribosomal RNA", at positions 509 to 807 of the family's 1533-position model. The record is from RNAcentral.